CGGCCCCUUCCCUGCACUUCCGUAACACAACACGGACAGCCCUAAGGUAUCUUAACUGCCACAAAGAAGGAGCGGUACAACUUGGGAAUGCCCUGCGAGCCGAGCCCGGUGGGAUCUCCGGCCCUCACUGCCCUUGUCCUCCUUUAAAAAAUAAAGACAGGAAGCCUUUAUUUUUGGUUUUGCUGUGCACUGAUCCAAGAGGACAAGGGUGAGUCUUCAUUCUGGUGAAACAUCCAGGGUUUAAUUUUUCUUGGAAAGAAAGGAGCUCAGCAUCCCAUACAGAAAAUUCUUCAGGUAGAAGGAUGUCAGAAAGAUGGAUUUCCAAAGCCAACCGUCUCCUGAACCAUGUGGAGCUCUGCAAGCAGAUUCUCGUCUUUCAGUUUUAACUGCAUAAGAGGUAGAAGGGAAGAACACAUACGUCACACCUGACUUAGCUAUGUGGAGACUCCUUAUUUGUGGGGCCACAGCUAAAGAACAUAGUUCCUCAGGUUGGAAUUGACUCUUCCUAUAUUCUGUUUCAUGGUAACUCCAUUAAAAAGUCUCAGAACACUGUGCUGGUUACAUGGAAGUGUUCACUUUACAAAAAUUUACAUAGUAUGAAUGCUCACAAUUUGUACAUUUUUUGUGUAAAAAAAAAGUUUAUUUUUAAAAAGUUUACCCUAAUACCCAAAUAUAUUCUUAACUAAUGUAUAAUACUGUUUGGCAGGUGAGAGACAGGAAUAAAAUACAUAGGAAUCAAAACCAUUAGAUUUGAAUUUAAUUUUAAAGUCUCAAUGUGUAAUGGACACAUCUGGUUGCCUACAAAUCCACUCUCUUCUUUUACUAACAAAAUGUUCAUUUGUUUUCAGGACAGCAAUGUAAGCAACUAAAAAGCAACAGAGUAGCAGCAGCUAACAGUAAUUUCAAUUGUGAUCAAUGAAAUGUAAGCUAAAGUCACAUCUCUUUAAAGGGAGGUGAAAUAGCUAGUGUGGCCCUUUUGUCCUUUGCCUACUUUGUUCUUUACUGUACUUGAAAUAUGCAUGUGAUAGCUUCAGGUACAAUGGCUGUCUUGCAACUGUGAGGGCUGGAAACUUCAUGUUAUGACUGGUGAAGCAGAAAGAAAGAGGUUGGGUUUCUGUUAACACUGUGGAGCUGUGGUACCAGUAUGUUCUGGACUUUUCAUUAGAUGAGAAAAAAUAAAACUCCUAAUUUGUUUAAGCUACUGGCUUCCAAGUCACAUUAUUUGCAAUCAUAACCAAUAGACUAGACCAGGGAUUCACAAGCAAUAGCUCAUGAGCCAAAUCUAGCCUGCUGCCUGUUUUUGUUAAGUAAAGUUUUAUUCGAAAUACAGCUGUGCUCAUUGGUUUGCAUAUUGUCUGUAGCUGCUUUUGCACUACAAGGGCACAGUGUGGUAGCUACAAGAGAGACCACAGGGCCCACAAAUCCUAUUUUGCCUUUUACAGAAAAAUUUGCUGACUGCUGGACUAGAACACCACCUUCACUUUGUAUGUGAGGAUAAUGAGGCCCAUGGAGGGUAAAGAAAAGAUCUCCCAUGGUAAUAUGUGGGUUAUGGCAAAGAUGGUUAAGAAAGUCCUCUAGAAAAAUCUUCGUGUCGUGAAGUGCCGUGAAGUCAAGUCUUGAAUUAAGCCAGCACCUUCCUCCUAGCAUUCCCAAUGUCAGUAUAC
Molecule: long non-coding RNA, 1664 nt
Organism: Capra hircus (goat)
Lineage: Eukaryota; Metazoa; Chordata; Mammalia; Artiodactyla; Bovidae
Exons: 3
Source: RefSeq, a predicted model, not a curated record